RNAcentral lists this ribosomal RNA (233 nucleotides) under uncultured Burkholderiales bacterium. RNAcentral describes it as "partial 16S ribosomal RNA". It matches the Rfam family "Bacterial small subunit ribosomal RNA", at positions 100 to 334 of the family's 1533-position model. Lineage: Bacteria; Pseudomonadati; Pseudomonadota; Betaproteobacteria; Burkholderiales. The record is from RNAcentral.
CGGAACGGGUGAGUAAUAUAUCGGAACGUGCCCAGUCGUGGGGGAUAACUGCUCGAAAGAGCAGCUAAUACCGCAUACGACCUGAGGGUGAAAGCGGGGGAUCGCAAGACCUCGCGCGAUCGGAGCGGCCGAUAUCAGAUUAGGUAGUUGGUGGGGUAAAGGCCCACCAAGCCAACGAUCUGUAGCUGGUCUGAGAGGACGACCAGCCACACUGGGACUGAGACACGGCCCAG